GCUGGGCGUGGUGGCGGAUGCCUGUAAUCUCAGCUCCUUGGGAGGCUGAGACAGGAGGAUCACUUGAACUUGGGAGGCAGAGGUUGCAGUGAGCUGAGAUCACGCCACUGCACUCCAGCCUGGGUGACAAAGCGAGAUUCUGUCUCAU
Callithrix jacchus (white-tufted-ear marmoset) is the source of this 148-nucleotide unclassified non-coding RNA. It matches the Rfam family "Metazoan signal recognition particle RNA". From Rfam's summary of the family: The signal recognition particle (SRP) is a universally conserved ribonucleoprotein. It is involved in the co-translational targeting of proteins to membranes. The eukaryotic SRP consists of a 300-nucleotide 7S RNA and six proteins: SRPs 72, 68, 54, 19, 14, and 9. The record is from Ensembl. Lineage: Eukaryota; Metazoa; Chordata; Mammalia; Primates; Cebidae.